Molecule: ribosomal RNA, 305 nt
Filed under: uncultured bacterium
Lineage: Bacteria
Description: bacterial SSU rRNA
Rfam family: Bacterial small subunit ribosomal RNA
Source: RNAcentral
UAUGUCCUACGGGGGGCAGCAGUGAGGAAUAUUGGUCAAUGGCCGGAAGGCUGAACCAGCCAAGUCGCGUGAGGGAAUAAGGCCCUAUGGGUCGUAAACCUCUUUUGUCAGGGAGCAAAGGCGUCCACGUGUGGACGAGAGGAGAGUACCUGAAGAAAAAGCAUCGGCUAACUCCGUGCCAGCAGCCGCGGUAAUACGGAGGAUGCGAGCGUUAUCCGGAUUUAUUGGGUUUAAAGGGUGCGCAGGCGGCCUGUUAAGUCAGCGGUAAAAGCCCGGGGCUCAACCCCGGCGAGCCGUUGAAACUG